This is a non-coding RNA of Triticum urartu, 123 nucleotides long. Lineage: Eukaryota; Viridiplantae; Streptophyta; Magnoliopsida; Poales; Poaceae. The record is from Rfam.
GGAUGUGACCAUAACGGCACUAAAGCACCGUAUCCCAUCAGAAAUCCAAAGUUAAGCGUGCAUGCUUGGGUGAGAGUAGUACUAGGAUGGGUGACCUCCUGGGAAGUCCUCGUGUUGCAUUCC